GUUGUUUUAGUACAGUUUUAAAAGCACAUCAAUGAUCGUGGUUUGAAAUCUAACAGAUUUAACUUCUGAUUUACCAGAGAAACUUUCAUAUGCUAUCUGCCUACAAAUUCAGAUGGGAGGGGUGGGUGGAGUAAGGGUUCUGAGGGAGAGGGGAAAUGAUUAUCAGAAACAAUAUAAUUGACUCUUAGAGAAUGAAUCUCAUUAAAGUAUGUACCAAUAAGGAUUCUUGGUUGCAGACAACAAAAAACCAAUUAGGAUUAACUUAGGCAGGAAAACAGUUUAUUGGAAGAAUAUUAGAUAUAUCGCUCACAGAAUUGAUGGAAAGGCUGGAGAACCAGCUUUGGAAAACAGAAACCAAAGGAAGCUAGAUGACCAAAACCGUAGCCAACUUCCAGCCUCAGGGAGAGCUGCGAGUUUGUUUACUUCUGUGGGCGGUGAGGCCUCUGAAAACCGGAUUCCAAACACCCUGCUUGUUUGCAUCACUAGUUCCAGAUUCAGAGACUGGUGGGAAUGUCCAACUGACCAAGCUUAUUUCGUCUUGCGCCAGCACUUGGGCUGUCAAGCAUCAAAGACAGCAAGGAUAUGUGACCUUAGCUUCCACAGUAGAAGAUGGGAACAUUUCUCCUACCAAGAUUCACCAAACAUAUGAAACGGGUUUGAUGACUGAGCACCAAAUACAAAACAUAUCAGAGGUCUGCUGUAGUCCAUCUUGCCUCCGUAUGGUUGCAAGAGUCUGCUUAAUUUGUACAACUCAACAUGUUAUUUCGAGGAGGUAUUCCAGGAGAUGAGAUGCCCCUGUCAGACUCCUCUCCCUACUCCUUUUUCCCCAUGGUCAUCAGGGCCAGUCACUCCAGCUGCACCAUAACCACUUUUCUAACUCCUCACCUAGGGGAAGGAGCUAAAAAUGAGCAGGAGGCAAUUCCAGCUUCCAGUACAGAGGAAACAUUGUAUCCCCUUGCACACUCUGGGUACAAAAAUUGGUAUACCAACAGAACCUGGAGUUGUGCAGAUGGACGGCAAGAGCAGUGAAGGGUCUGAGAUUUUAUCCUACUUGCAGCUUGCUUGCUGCAGUGUCGUGGAUGCUGGCAAGAGACCGGAGACUCCUGGGUAAGACACAAAAAUCUUUUUAUUACAGCAAAGCAGUAGCCCAAGCGUCGCAUGUUUGCACCGGUUCCUGGAGCCCCAGUUUCCACAGGGCUGUGGUGGGCCAGAUGACACCCAUACACACAUCGGGUUGAGCGCAGGAGGAGAAUCCAGGGCCACGCAGUUGUUGAGCAAGUAGCAAACAAGCCAGUCUCUCCCCUAGGGCAGCGGCAGUGAAAUGGUAGUAAUGCUCUGGCCGCCUGGACCCACGUAGGUGCCUGUGUUACUAGCUUCGGAAACUGUUGUGUCAGGAGAUGGAUAAGCCUCGCAGCUGGCAUGCUCGGCAAUAAUAUGCAGGGUGCUCAGGACCCACGGCAGAGUCUCUCCCCACAGUGGAAAGCAAAAUAUACGGGCACUGAGUCAGAUGCAACAGCAUAGCGUCAAUCCCUCUACUCUUGGACUUUGUCACUGUGUCAACAAAAGAGAUAUCACUAAAUACUGUUAACUCAUUUGGAGCAUAUGCCGAAUCCUUUACGACAGCAUCCCAAAGUGUGUGUCUCAUCUGGUUCCAGAAGGCAGCCUUCAAUAGGGCUGUCCAUUAUUCUGUAAACCCAGUUGCUUCUGCUGCGAUGGCAUCAGUACCCUUCUUUACCUCUUUCACGGGAAAGUGAGUUCCUGGGUGAGAAGCAAUGUCGUCUGGGAUGCUGUAUAAGCUGUGUGGAGUAUAAGGUAUUCAGUAGGUCCACAGAUGGACUGGAUGAAAGAUCCGUAAGUUGGGGAAAGCAGUCCAAACCCAGAACAAUCGUCUAGUCCUAGAGAAGUAGCUGGCUCCUUCAUUAUCGCAGGCUUCCACUGUAAUCAGACCUGCCACCCAGGCUGUAUAAUCCUGUAUCGGGAACAGGGUGGUCACUGCAAGUGCUAUGCUGGGCGGUCAGUCUCGGCAGGGGAAGAACUGUUAGGAAUACACGCAUGUCUCCAUGCCACGUGCCCCCUCAUUAGUGGGCCCACUGAGCGAGCACAGCAGUGGUGGGGGAGGCGCCUGGCUGAUGUCUCCAGGGGCUCAUUGUGGUAGGCACCCCCACUGCUGGCCUUCAUCCCUGCUGUAAUCCCCUCCCUUUGAGAGUGGCUGGACCUACCCAUGCACUUCUGUCAGAACACAGCAAACGUGAUGGGGUCACAUGGGAGAUGAGGUGGCUUCCAUCCCGAGCACUCUGGUUCUCUCGUCCGUUCACUCCGUGGAAGACCAGCCGCCACGCUGUGAGAGCACCUCUGGAGAAGCCCCGAAGCAAGGGACUGAGGAGCUGAGAGCCCAGAGGAGGGAAGUCCUGCCAGCAGUCCUGGGAGUGGGCCUGGAGGCAGAUCCCCCUGCGGAGCCUGUGCAGGAGACAGAACCCCAGCCAACAGCCUGACUGCAGCCUCCUUUAAGACCUGCAGCCCCAGGCACUGGCUCCUGCACUGCCCACCCACAAACACUGUGAGAGAAUAAACGUUUAUUGUGUAAGCCACAACAUUUUGGUAUGUUAGGCAACAGUGGAUCACCAGCACAGUCACAGGCAACAGUGGAUCACUAGCACGGUCACAGUCAGGCGACAAUGGAUCACUAGCACAGUGACAGGCAGGUGACAGUGGAUCACCAGCACCGUCACAGGCAGGCGACAGUGGAUCACCAGCACCGUCACAGGCAGGCGACAGUGGAUCACCAGCACCGUCACAGGCAGGCGACAGUGGAUCACCAGCACCGUCACAGGCAGGCGACAGUGGAUCACUAGCACGGUCACAGGCAAGCAACAGUGGAUCACCAGCACAGUCACAGGCAACAGUGGAUCACUAGCACGGUCACAGUCAGGCGACAAUGGAUCACUAACACAGUCACAGGCAGGUGACAGUGGAUCACCAGCACAGUCACAGGCAGGCACAGUGGAUCACCAGCACAGUCAGGCAAGCAACAGUGGAUCACUAGCACGGUCACAGGCAAGCAAAAGUGGAUCACUAGCACGGUCACAGGCAACAGUGGCUCACCAGCACCGUCAUAGGCAGGUGACAGUAGAUCACCAGCACCGUCACAGGCAGGAGACAGUGGAUCACUAGCACAGUCAUCGUGUCCUGGUUAAGAGCCCUUCUGCGACGGGAGCCAGACGUGCGUAUGCUUUGGGGCCACUUCCAGAGGUCCUGCCCCGAAGCGCUCUCCAAACUCUGUCCAUCGGCCGACCGCGUUGACGCCGCCCGCCGCCUCAGCCCGCCCUCCAGGCCGAGCGCUCAAGACAGAGCCAGAGCCAGUGCCAGAGCCAGCCCCGCCUCCGGAGGACGUGCCCCUCGGUCCCCGAGGCCCCGCGCCAUGGGGCCCCGACGCCGCAGCAGCCGUGGGUCAGUGUGGGCAGCAGGCCGCCUCCGCGCACCCGCCACGCUGCAGCCGAGAGCCAGCCACGGGGGAGAGCGCGGCGCGCGCACCACCGCUGCAGCGAAAGGACGCCGGCGCGGAGGGCCGGCCCUUGGGGCGCCACCCGGUCGACAGGACCCCUACGUGACAGGACCCUCAAGUGACAGGACCCUCAAGUCAUAGGACCCCCCACGGUGACAGGACCCUCACGGUGACAGGACCCCCCCCACGGUGACAGGAACGCCCCCGGAUGACAUGACGCCCGAUCUCCUCAGGUGUCCCCGCACCGCAGCGCCGCUGGACUCGAGGCGGCUCCCUCAGGGCGGCCGCACCAGAGCGCAGCGCUCCCCUCUUCUCCGAGAAGUGCCACUGCGGGUCCUCGGCUCCGAGUCGGAACCCGGACACGACACGGGGACACUGAGAUGCUCCGAGACGGGGAACCGGGGAAAGAGCACGCCCACCCUCGCCAGAGGCUCUGCGGGGCCCCGCUGCGCGCGCCCUGAGCGGCCCCCUGGCCCGCGCUGAGGGGAGCGCACCCAGCCAGGACUCGCGGCCCCUGGCAGCGCGGCGCGCUCUCCCGGACCAGCCAGAGCCGCGCCCUCCUCCUUUCCCACAGCCGGCCCCACCCACGCGCAGGCCCCGCCCACACACGGCCCCGUCCCGCCUCAGAGGCCAGGCCCAAGCACAGGCCCCGCCCCCGUCACGGAGGCCCCGCCUCAAGGAAAGCCCGCCCCUCCUGUGGCGCGGGCCCGGGAUACCCUUCCGGGCUGGACAGUGCACAGUGCGCGUGCGUCGGCGCCAUGGCCUCAGUUGGGUUGUCCCGGUUACUCGGCUGCGUCCCGGCCGCGGCGUGGAGAGCGGCAAGAUCACCCCUUCUGUGUCAUUCUUUGAGGAAAACGAGUUCUUCUCAAGGAGGAAAGUCUGAACCUGUCAAGCAAUCCCUUAAGAAGCCCAAGUUACCAGAAGGUCGUUUUGAUGCACCAGAAGAUUCCCAUUUAGAGAAAGAACCACUGACAAAAUUUCCAGAUGAUGUUAAUCCUGUUACCAAAGAAAAAGGUGGACCCAGGGGCCCGGAACCUACCCGCUAUGGAGAUUGGGAACGAAAAGGACGCUGCAUUGAUUUUUAAGCCAUGUAUUCUUUACCUUCACUAUCUGUUUCUGAAUAUGCACAUCUGAAUUAACUGAUUACUUUAUUUUUGUAUAUCCUUUAAGUCAUCUAAUUUCUAUAAUGUGUUUAAAAAUAUAUAUGAUGGCUUUGGAAGAAAAUAUGCUGCUAUAAAUUAGGAAAGGGAAAAUAUACAUUAGCACAUUAAUUUAAAUGUAUUGAGGUAUAUAAGUGAUGAGAAAAGCAAACUUUUCCUUCAUAUUUCAGUUAAAUCAGUUGCUUAUAAAAUGCAAAUGUGAAUAAAAUAAGUUUUUUAUUGAUUGCAUUGCCAUGUGCUAGGUAAUAGUGGCUUUUUAAAUGCGGAUUGAGUGGUGCAUUAUAGUUUGAGGAGACGACAGUAACAUCAGAAAGUCUUUAACUUGGAGCCAGAUGACUUGCGUCCAAAUCCUGGCUGUACUGCUUACUAGCUGUGUUACCUUGGAUAGGUUAUUUAUCUUCUCUGUUCUUCACUAUCUUUAUGUGUAAAUUGGAGAUGAUGCUCAUUCCACCUGAUAGGGCAGUUGAGACGAUUAAAUGAGUAAAUACCUGUGAACCGCUUGGAGCAGUGCAUAGCACAUACUUCUCAGUAAGUGGUAGCUAGCUUUAAACCAUAAAUGUAUUUAUCCAAGUCUCCACACUUCCUGGGGGAAAAGAUUAAGAAACUGAAAUUUGAAAUACUAAAAUUGAAAUUGUCUUAUAUGAAUAUAAUGUUAAAAAUCUUUAGUUGGAAAGUUAGUGAUUAUAUGCAUGAGUGAACUGAGGUGAAAUAGACAUUAGUUUGUGAAACAUGAAAUUCAGGUACAGAGGGCAAAUAGGAGAAAAGCAGCGAUGGAAUGGACCAGCUCAGUCAGUUUUGAUUGACUCAGAAGCUCCUACCGUGUGUCCUUCGGACAACUGGGUCAGAAAAAGUCAAGUCCAGUUGACAGAUGUGGAAUGAAGGAAGGAUGGAAACUACUGGGCUCCCCAAGGCGUCUUUCGCUGUCCUGUGGCCUCAGUCACAAAGACCGAGCCUUCAGCCCCCAGGACACUAAAAUUACUUAGAGAGGGUUUGCAAAGCCCGUAGAAGAAAGAAUGCAGUGGGCUGAUACUAUGUGAUGUGAACUGUAGGUGCAGUAUUAUUUGAGAAGAUUGUACGGAGACUUAUUUAAGAGAAGAAGCUUUUUAAAAAAGUGUAUUUUCCCCAGAUACACACAAAAGAGUAUGGUAAUUGGGACUAGUCAUUCAGUCUUGAUCCCAGUUGUCUCUCAGUCAACAUGUGUUCUUUUAAUUGCAGUUACUGUGUGUGCUGCUAAGUAAUAACCACAUUCCUUUAGAAAUACUCUAUAAUUUAGUCAGCCUUCAAUUGCCCAAAUUAUUGAAGAUUUUUAGUAAGUUAACAGUCCAGAAAUAUUGUGUUAUUUUGUACUGUAUAGCUUUGCUUGUGUUCCACAUUGAUCAUCAUGAUAUGUGAUAAGGACAACUUACAUAUUUCAGAAGCUAACAUAAAAUAUAUAAUAACUGAAGUGUUGUGUUAAGAUAAUAGAAUCUUUAACCUCUGUCAAUAGUAACGUGAUUCAUGACAGCUAUCAAAUAUAUAGGUAAAAGUUGGUGGAAUGAAAACAUACUUGGUCUUAUGUCCAUCAAAACCCUGAAGACUUAGAAAAGAUGAUACGGCAGCAAUGGAACGCGUAACUCAGAUCUGCAGGAAGUAGAGUUGACGGAGACGCAGCUGCUGCCCCGUGGGAUCCACCACCAUGUUCCUGCCGAGGCCACACUUCCCCAGGCUGUUCCUAGCCAAUGAGUGGGUAUGACGGGGCUGCAGUGAAGCAGUCUGAUGGCCCACUCCCCUGCUGGACGACCUUGGCUCAAGGACUCCUCAUUAGCCUGCCCGGAGUUUUCUUAGGACUGUGCUGCUGUCCGAGGCUCUUCCUGCCCAGUCCUCCUCUCCUUCCCUCUCCCUUCACAGGGGUCAGGCUCUGCCUGCUCCUCCCCUCUGGGAUUCACAAAUGUCUCCCCAGUCCUCCUCUCCUUCCCUCUCCCUUCACAGGGGUCAGGCUCUGCCUGCUCCUCCCCUCUGGGAUUCACAAAUGUCUCCCCAGUCCUCCUCUCCUUCCCUCUCCCUUCACAGGGGUCAGGCUCUGCCUGCUCCUCCCCUCUGGGAUUCACAAAUGUCUCCCCAGUCCUCCUCUCCUUCCCUCUCCCUUCACAGGGGUCAGGCUCUGCCUGCUCCUCCCCUCUGGGAUUCACAAAUGUCUCCCCAGUCCUCCUCUCCUUCCCUCUCCCUUCACAGGGGUCAGGCUCUGCCUGCUCCUCCCCUCUGUAGUUCACAGAUGUCUCCCCAGUAAAUCUUUUCUACAUUUAAUCCCAUCUUAGCAUUUGUUUCUCAGAACUGAAACUAAUAUGGAUAGUUUUAAAAAGAACAACUUAUAGAUAAAUUGUCAGAAAAUGUCACACAAAACUUGUGGGUUUUUCUAGUGUAAUCAUAGUUUAAAUAGUUUAAUUUUCCAUUGCUUGGGGAUUUCUGGGAAAUUAUAGGUUGAGCUUUUAUGUACAAGGCUCGCACCAUGGAACCUUGUUCAUAUUAGGCAUUUUGCUGGAAUUGAAUUAUGCUCAGCAUUUUUUCCUUGCUUUGGUGUCAGUUGCUAUGACCUACCAUGAGUCAAAAUAUAACAUUACAUAUUAUUAAACUUGUAAGAACAAACCUAAGCCACGUUCUGCUAGUAAAUAACACAUGUUCUUUCGAUGAAUAGAAUGGUUUAUAAUGAACAGACUUGGUAAUAGUAAUAAUUAAUGAUAUAUCAGCAAUUUUAAAGAUAAUUUCAGAACAGAACAGUAGUUUUUAUAAGUAUAGGAUAAGAAUGGCUGCAGGCUGUUAGUCAGCCAACACUUAUUGAUCAGUUAGAAGGAAAGUAAAAUGAAGAGCGCCUGGCAGGUUUGUUCAUGCAUUCAGUUGAUUCUUUCAUUUAAUCAGUGAUUAUUUGUCUGCUACGUGCCAGGUGUUCUGCUAGGCUUUGGGUGUUUGGUGUUGGAUUAAAGCAAACCCUUGCCAUCCUGGCAUAAAGUCUGGUGGGUUUGAUUUGCACGUGAGAACAGUUCCAAAGGACAGCCGACUGAAGCCUAAAUGCAUUGCAAGGGACUGUCCUUUGCCUCAACCAACCAAAGGGGCCUUCCUAAGUUUGAUGAGACUGUCACUUUCUGGGUUUUUGAUACUAGAGGACUCUUCAGAGACCUGUGUUUUCACCUUUUUAAAUCUAAACUGACCUUGUGUGGGCCAGGCCCAGUGGCCUAGUGGUUAAGGUCAGUGUCCUCCACUUUGGUGGCCCAGGUUCAGUUCCCAGGUGUGGACCUACACCACUCACCUAUCAGUGACCAUGCUGUGGUGGCGAGCCACAUACGAAAUAGAGGAAGACUGGCAACAGGUGGUAGCUCAGGGUGAAUCUUUCUCAGCAGAAAAUAAACUGACUCUGAGAUAUUUAUUAAUCAAGUUAAAUACUCAUUCUGUGAUCAUACGUGUUCUGACCUUGCCAUAGAUCAGCCUCCCUAGACAUUGACUAAGAAGAUGUGGAGUAAGCAGAGUGAUAUAAUUAAGGUUGCUCAAGCCAUUCCUGGCCCGAGAAGAACAUUUUUGGUGCAUCCCUCUGCACGAACACUGGAGCUAAAGCUGCCCCUGAUUUGCCUGAGCCGGGCCUGGCUGCUAUGAAUGAAUUAUAAAGUCUUAGCAGGUGGAAUCUUGUCUGAGGCCUUGAAACCGCCAGUACUCCUGAUUAGCUGUUGCUGGUGAGAAGGAAUUGUGGACAGAUUCAGGAGAGAGGUUGGUGGUGGCGGAGUGUGAGAAGGAGGUGGAGAACGAGCUUUCAGAAGGAACUGAGUAGAGAAUACUGGAGCCGAAAAGUACGCACAAGGAGACAGGAGUGUCU
RNAcentral lists this long non-coding RNA (8500 nucleotides) under Equus caballus (horse). RNAcentral describes it as "lncRNA (ENSECAG00000054796.1)". Lineage: Eukaryota; Metazoa; Chordata; Mammalia; Perissodactyla; Equidae. The record is from RNAcentral.